GAUGAACGCUGGCGGCGUGCCUAAUACAUGCAAGUCGAGCGAACAGAUGAGGAGCUUGCUCCUCUGACGUUAGCGGCGGACGGGUGAGUAACACGUGGAUAACCUACCUAUAAGACUGGGAUAACUUCGGGAAAUCGGAGCUAAUACCGGAUAAUAUAUUGAACCGCAUGGUUCAAUAGUGAAAGACGGUUUUGCUGUCACUUAUAGAUGGAUCCGCGCCGCAUUAGCUAGUUGGUAAGGUAACGGCUUACCAAGGCAACGAUGCGUAGCCGACCUGAGAGGGUGAUCGGCCACACUGGAACUGAGACACGGUCCAGACUCCUACGGGAGGCAGCAGUAGGGAAUCUUCCGCAAUGGGCGAAAGCCUGACGGAGCAACGCCGCGUGAGUGAUGAAGGUCUUCGGAUCGUAAAACUCUGUUAUUAGGGAAGAACAAAUGUGUAAGUAACUAUGCACGUCUUGACGGUACCUAAUCAGAAAGCCACGGCUAACUACGUG
Molecule: ribosomal RNA, 497 nt
Filed under: uncultured bacterium
Lineage: Bacteria
Description: partial 16S ribosomal RNA
Rfam family: Bacterial small subunit ribosomal RNA
Source: RNAcentral